GCCUCGGUGGCGAAAUUGGUAGACGCACGGGACUUAAAAUCCCGCGGGGUUAAACCCGUGCCGGUUCGAUUCCGGCCCGAGGCACCA
This 87-nucleotide transfer RNA is filed under the name Methylomarinum sp. RNAcentral's name for it is "tRNA-Leu". It matches the Rfam family "tRNA". Rfam says of the family: Transfer RNA (tRNA) molecules are approximately 80 nucleotides in length. Their secondary structure includes four short double-helical elements and three loops (D, anti-codon, and T loops). Lineage: Bacteria; Pseudomonadati; Pseudomonadota; Gammaproteobacteria; Methylococcales; Methylococcaceae. The record is from RNAcentral.